This 460-nucleotide ribosomal RNA is filed under the name uncultured bacterium. RNAcentral's name for it is "partial 16S ribosomal RNA". It matches the Rfam family "Bacterial small subunit ribosomal RNA", at positions 338 to 795 of the family's 1533-position model. The record is from RNAcentral.
CCUACGGGAGGCAGCAGUGAGGAAUAUUGGUCAAUGGGCGCAAGCCUGAACCAGCCAAGCCGCGUGAAGGAUGACGGCUCUACGGGUUGUAACCUUCUUUUUUAAGGGAGUAAAAUGAGACACUAGUGCCGGUUUGAAUGUAUGCUACGUAUAAGGAUCGGCUAACUCCGUGCCAGCAGCCGCGGUAAUACGGCGGAUCCGAGCGUUAUCCGGAUUUAUUGGGUUUAAAGGGAGCGUAGGCGGGUUGAUAAGUCAGUUGUGAAAGUUCGGGGCUCAACCCUGAAAUUGCAUUUGAUACUGGUGUUCUUGAGUACAGUUGAGGUAGGCGGAAUUCGGGGUGUAGCGGUGAAAUGCUUAGAUAUAACGAAGAACACCGAUUGCGAAGGCAGCUUACUAAACUGUAACUGACGUUGAGGCUCGAAAGCGUGGGUAGCAAACAGGAUUAGAUACCCGAGUAGUC